UUCCGGUUGAUCCCGCCGGACCUGACUGCUAUCGGAUUGAUACUAAGCCAUGUGAGUCAUUGUAGCAAUACAAGGCAGACGGCUCAGUAACACGUAGCCAAUCUAACCUAUGGACGGGGAUAACCUCGGGAAACUGAGGAUAAACCCCGAUAGAUCAUUAUGCCUGGAACGGUUUAUGGUCCAAAUGAUUCGUCGCCGUAGGAUGAGACUGCGGCCUAUCAGCUUGUUGGUGAGGUAAUGGCCCACCAAGGCUAUUACAGGUACGGGCUCUGAGAGGAGAGGCCCGGAGAUGGGUACUGAGACACGGACCCAGGCCCUAUGGGGCGCAGCAGGCGAGAAACCUUUGCAAUGUGCGCAAGCACGACAAGGUUAAUCCGAGUGAUUCCUGCUAAAGGAAUCUUUUGUUAGUCUUAAAAUCACUAUUGAAUAAGGGGUGGGCAAGUUCUGGUGUCAGCCGCCGCGGUAAAACCAGCACCUCAAGUGGUCAGGAGGAUUAUUGGGCCUAAAGCAUCCGUAGCCUGCUCUGUAAGUUUCCGGUUAAAUCCAUUAGCUCAACUAAUGGCCUGCCGGAAAUACUGCAGAGCUAGGAAGUGGGAGAGGUAGACGGUACUCGGUAGGAAGGGGUAAAAUCCUUUGAUCUAUUGAUGACCACCUGUGGCGAAGGCGGUCUACCAGAACACGUUCGACGGUGAGGGAUGAAAGCUGGGGGAGCAAACCGGAUUAGAUACCCGGGUAGUCCCAGCUGUAAACGAUGCAGACUCGGUGAUGCGCUGGCUUGUGGCCAGUGCAGUGCCGCAGGGAAGCCGUUAAGUUUGCCGCCUGGGAAGUACGUACGCAAGUAUGAAACUUAAAGGAAUUGGCGGGGGAGCACCACAAGGGGUGAAGCCUGCGGUUCAAUUGGAUUCAACGCCGGA
RNAcentral lists this ribosomal RNA (914 nucleotides) under uncultured archaeon. RNAcentral describes it as "bacterial SSU rRNA". It matches the Rfam family "Archaeal small subunit ribosomal RNA", at positions 1 to 922 of the family's 1478-position model. The record is from RNAcentral.